This 220-nucleotide ribosomal RNA is filed under the name Dolichospermum sp. LEGE 00246. RNAcentral's name for it is "partial 16S ribosomal RNA". It matches the Rfam family "Bacterial small subunit ribosomal RNA", at positions 1314 to 1533 of the family's 1533-position model. The record is from RNAcentral. Lineage: Bacteria; Bacillati; Cyanobacteriota; Cyanophyceae; Nostocales; Aphanizomenonaceae.
GCCUUCGUGAAGGAGGAAUCGCUAGUAAUUGCAGGUCAGCAUACUGCAGUGAAUUCGUUCCCGGGCCUUGUACACACCGCCCGUCACACCAUGGAAGUUGGUCACGCCCGAAGUCGUUACCCCAACCGCAAGGAGGGGGAUGCCUAAGGUAGGACUGAUGACUGGGGUGAAGUCGUAACAAGGUAGCCGUACCGGAAGGUGUGGCUGGAUCACCUCCUUU